CCUACGGGUGGCAGCAGUGGGGAAUAUUGCACAAUGGGGGAAACCCUGAUGCAGCGACGCCGCGUGAGUGAGGAAGGAUUUCGGUAUGUAAAGCUCUAUCAGCAGGGAAGAAAAGGACGGUACCUGACUAAGAAGCCCCGGCUAACGAUGUGCCAGCAGCCGCGGGAAUACGUAGGGGGCAAGCGUUAUCCGGAGUUACUGGGUGUAAAGGGAGCGUAGACGGCUACUCAAGUCAGAAGUGAAAACCCAGGGCUCAACCUUGGGAGGGCUUUUGAAACUGCGUAGCUAGAGUGCAGGAGAGGUCAGCGGCAUUCCUAGUGUAGCGGUGAAAUGCGUCGAUAUUAGGAGGACCACCAGUGGCGAAGGCGGCUUACUGGACUGUAACUGCCGUUGAGGCUCGAAAGCGUGGGGAGCAAACAGGAUUAGAUACCCUGGUAGUC
RNAcentral lists this ribosomal RNA (440 nucleotides) under uncultured bacterium. Its description in RNAcentral is "partial 16S ribosomal RNA". It matches the Rfam family "Bacterial small subunit ribosomal RNA", at positions 338 to 795 of the family's 1533-position model. The record is from RNAcentral.